GCGGCCUAUCAGCUUGUUGGUGAGGUAAUGGCUCACCAAGGCGACGACGGGUAGCCGGCCUGAGAGGGCGACCGGCCACACUGGGACUGAGACACGGCCCAGACUCCUACGGGAGGCAGCAGUGGGGAAUAUUGGGCAAUGGAGGAAACUCUGACCCAGCGACGCCGCGUGAGGGAUGAAGGCCUUCGGGUUGUAAACCGCUUUCAGCAGGGAAGAAGCGAAAGUGACGGUACCUGCAGAAGAAGCACCGGCUAACUAUGUGCCAGCAGCCGCGGUAAUACAUAGGGUGCAAGCGUUGUCCGGAAUUAUUGGGCGUAAAGAGCUCGUAGGUGGUUCGUCACGUCGGAUGUGAAAAUCUGGGGCUUAACCCCAGACCUGCAUUCGAUACGGGCGAGCUAGAGUGUGGUAGGGGAGACUGGAAUUCCU
RNAcentral lists this ribosomal RNA (426 nucleotides) under uncultured Actinomycetes bacterium. RNAcentral describes it as "bacterial SSU rRNA". It matches the Rfam family "Bacterial small subunit ribosomal RNA", at positions 233 to 671 of the family's 1533-position model. Lineage: Bacteria; Bacillati; Actinomycetota; Actinomycetes. The record is from RNAcentral.